This 86-nucleotide transfer RNA is filed under the name Victivallales bacterium. RNAcentral's name for it is "tRNA-Tyr". It matches the Rfam family "tRNA". Rfam says of the family: Transfer RNA (tRNA) molecules are approximately 80 nucleotides in length. Lineage: Bacteria; Pseudomonadati; Lentisphaerota; Lentisphaeria; Victivallales. The record is from RNAcentral.
GGUAGGGUACCGAAGUGGCCAAACGGGGCAGACUGUAAAUCUGCUGGAUUAUUCCUUCAGUGGUUCGAGUCCACUCCCUACCACCA